UGGGGAAUAUUGCACAAUGGGCGCAAGCCUGAUGCAGCCAUGCCGCGUGUGUGAAGAAGGCCUUCGGGUUGUAAAGCACUUUCAGCGGGGAGGAAGGCGUUAAGGUUAAUAACCUUGGCGAUUGACGUUACCCGCAGAAGAAGCACCGGCUAACUCCGUGCCAGCAGCCGCGGUAAUACGGAGGGUGCAAGCGUUAAUCGGAAUUACUGGGCGUAAAGCGCACGCAGGCGGUCUGUCAAGUCGGAUGUGAAAUCCCCGGGCUCAACCUGGGAACUGCAUUCGAAACUGGCAGGCUAGAGUCUUGUAGAGGGGGGUAGAAUUCCAGGUGUAGCGGUGAAAUGCGUAGAGAUCUGGAGGAAUACCGGUGGCGAAGGCGGCCACCUGGACAAAGACUGACGCUAAGGUGCGAAAGCGUGGGGAGCAAACAGG
Molecule: ribosomal RNA, 429 nt
Filed under: Chloroflexota bacterium
Lineage: Bacteria; Bacillati; Chloroflexota
Description: Chloroflexi bacterium partial 16S ribosomal RNA
Rfam family: Bacterial small subunit ribosomal RNA
Source: RNAcentral